UCCUACGGGAGGCAGCAGUGGGGAAUAUUGGACAAUGGGCGAAAGCCUGAUCCAGCCAUGCCGCGUGUGUGAAGAAGGUCUUCGGAUUGUAAAGCACUUUAAGUUGGGAGGAAGGGCAGUUACCUAAUACGUGACUGUUUGACGUACCGACAGAUAGCCCGAUGGG
This 166-nucleotide ribosomal RNA is filed under the name Pseudomonas sp. MB231. RNAcentral describes it as "partial 16S ribosomal RNA". It matches the Rfam family "Bacterial small subunit ribosomal RNA", at positions 337 to 497 of the family's 1533-position model. The record is from RNAcentral. Lineage: Bacteria; Pseudomonadati; Pseudomonadota; Gammaproteobacteria; Pseudomonadales; Pseudomonadaceae.